AUGCAAGUCGAACGGAAAGGCCCUGCUUGUAGGGUACUCGAGUGGCGAACGGGUGAGUAACACGUGGGGUGAUCUGCCCUGCACUUCGGGAUAAGCCUGGGAAACUGGGGUCUAAUACCGGAUAGGAGCCAUUUUUAGUGUGAUGGUUGGAGAGUUUUUUCGGUGUAGGGAUGAGCUCGCGGCCUAUCAGCUUGUUGGUGGGGUAAUGGCCUACCAAGGCGGCGACGGGGUAGCCGGCCUGAGAGGGUGGACGGCCACAUUGGGACUGAGAUACGGCCCCAGACUCC
Molecule: ribosomal RNA, 287 nt
Filed under: uncultured bacterium
Lineage: Bacteria
Description: partial 16S ribosomal RNA
Rfam family: Bacterial small subunit ribosomal RNA
Source: RNAcentral